UACGGAGGGUGCGAGCGUUGUCCGGAAUCACUGGGCGUAAAGGGCGCGUAGGUGGCGCGGGCAGUCAACGGUGAAAGUUCGGGGCUCAACCCUGAAUCGGCCGUCGAUACUCCCGUGCUUGAGCACUGUAGAGGCAGAUGGAAUUCCGGGUGUAGCGGUGGAAUGCGUAGAGAUCCGGAAGAACACCGGUGGCGAAGGCGGUCUGCUGGGCAGUAGCUGACACUGAGACGCGAAAGCCAGGGGAGCGAACGGG
RNAcentral lists this ribosomal RNA (253 nucleotides) under uncultured bacterium. RNAcentral describes it as "partial 16S ribosomal RNA". It matches the Rfam family "Bacterial small subunit ribosomal RNA", at positions 524 to 776 of the family's 1533-position model. The record is from RNAcentral.